GAUGAACGCUGGCGGCGUGCCUAAUACAUGCAAGUCGAGCGAACGGACGAGAAGCUUGCUUCUCUGAUGUUAGCGGCGGACGGGUGAGUAACACGUGGAUAACCUACCUAUAAGACUGGGAUAACUUCGGGAAACCGGAGCUAAUACCGGAUAAUAUUUUGAACCGCAUGGUUCAAAAGUGAAAGACGGUCUUGCUGUCACUUAUAGAUGGAUCCGCGCUGCAUUAGCUAGUUGGUAAGGUAACGGCUUACCAAGGCAACGAUGCAUAGCCGACCUGAGAGGGUGAUCGGCCACACUGGAACUGAGACACGGUCCAGACUCCUACGGGAGGCAGCAGUAGGGAAUCUUCCGCAAUGGGCGAAAGCCUGACCGAGCAACGCCGCGUGAGUGAUGAAGGUCUUCCGAUCGUAAAACUCUGUUAUUAGGGAAGAACAUAUGUGUAAGUAACUGUGCACAUCUUGACGGUACCUAAUCAGAAAGCCACGGCUAACUACGUGCCAGCAGCCGCGGUAAUACGUAGGUGGCAAGCGUUAUCCGGAAUUAUUGGGCGUAAAGCGCGCGUAGGCGGUUUUUUAGUCUGAUGUGAAAGCCCACGGCUCAACCGUGGAGGGUCAUUGGAAACUGGAAAACUUGAGUGCAGAAGAGGAAAGUGGAAUUCCAUGUGUAGCGGUGAAAUGCGCAGAGAUAUGGAGGAACACCAGUGGCGAAGGCGACUUUCUGGUCUGUAACUGACGCUGAUGUGCGAAAGCGUGGGGAUCAAACAGGAUUAGAUACCCUGGUAGUCCACGCCGUAAACGAUGAGUGCUAAGUGUUAGGGGGUUUCCGCCCCUUAGUGCUGCAGCUAACGCAUUAAGCACUCCGCCUGGGGAGUACGACCGCAAGGUUGAAACUCAAAGGAAUUGACGGGGACCCGCACAAGCGGUGGAGCAUGUGGUUUAAUUCGAAGCAACGCGAAGAACCUUACCAAAUCUUGACAUCCUUUGACAACUCUAGAGAUAGAGCUUUCCCCUUCGGGGGACAAAGUGACAGGUGGUGCAUGGUUGUCGUCAGCUCGUGUCGUGAGAUGUUGGGUUAAGUCCCGCAACGAGCGCAACCCUUAAGCUUAGUUGCCAUCAUUAAGUUGGGCACUCUAAGUUGACUGCCGGUGACAAACCGGAGGAAGGUGGGGAUGACGUCAAAUCAUCAUGCCCCUUAUGAUUUGGGCUACACACGUGCUACAAUGGACAAUACAAAGGGCAGCGAAACCGCGAGGUCAAGCAAAUCCCAUAAAGUUGUUCUCAGUUCGGAUUGUAGUCUGCAACUCGACUACGUGAAGCUGGAAUCGCUUAGUAUCUUAGAUCAACUUGCUACGGUGAAAACUUUCCCGGGUCU
This 1371-nucleotide ribosomal RNA is filed under the name uncultured bacterium. RNAcentral describes it as "bacterial SSU rRNA". It matches the Rfam family "Bacterial small subunit ribosomal RNA", at positions 28 to 1381 of the family's 1533-position model. The record is from RNAcentral.